Long non-coding RNA from Aedes albopictus (Asian tiger mosquito), 1555 nucleotides. RefSeq lists it as uncharacterized. NCBI's taxonomy places the organism in Eukaryota, Metazoa, Arthropoda, Insecta, Diptera, Culicidae. The record is from RefSeq and is a predicted model, not a curated record. The transcript has 2 exons.
AAUCAUUAGAGAAAUCCCUGAAGGAAUUCCUGGUGGAAUUCCAGGUGGAAUUUCGUCUGAAAUAUUUCCCAGACGAAUCUCUGGAGGAAUCCCUAGGGGAUCAAUUCUUGCAUAUAUUCCUGGAGGAAACCCUGGAAGAAAAUCCGGAGGAAUCCCUGGAAAAAAUCCUGGAGGAAUUACUGAAGAAAUUAUUGAAAGAAUUUCUGAAAGAAUUGGUGGAAGAAUUGCUGUAAGCAUUUCCGAAGCAAAUCCUGGAGGAAUUCCUGGAUCAAUUCCUGGGUAAAAUCUGUUACCGUUUACAGUAACAAUGGGUAAAAGUUCGCUCAUUUUAUUUUGAAGUGGUACCAACUAAUCCCCCCCAAAACAACACAAUUUUGUGAGACUUCGCAUGUAGUAGCGAAGGUGGAAUAAACACUGAAAAUUACCCAUUUCACUGUUUAUUCCACCUUAGGCGAUUGUACCCUUUCUAACGCUAACGCUGCUGUCACCCUCUGUCACCUAUUUGACGGCGAAAUAAAACCAACGAUGGCAACUCAACUUCCGGAGCGAUGAGGGAAGGGGAGAGAAGGAUGAAAAGGGAGAAAGGGAAAAAACCCGAAGAGGAGUCAGUGAGGUUUGAUCCGCCGAACGCGAAACAAGUGGCUGAAAGUUCAGCACAAAAAUUCUCUACCAAAGGACGAGACCAUCCAGUCAGCCAACUGAAUUGGCCGCGCGCAACCCCGAAAAAUCACCUGGAUCAACCAUAGACGGAUUCCGCUCGAUCAACCAACCGAGCGGUCCGUGGAACGGCCCGUUUUUGCCAACCACAAGCCGGGGAAACCCGCCAGUGCGACGCCACGCACGGAACCGACACUGUCAGUCAGCGAAGCGGCCCGUGGGGACGGUACGCCCUCCUCGUGGCUCGUUUAGAAAGCCCUGUGAACCCCGCCGGUGCGACGCCGCGCCCGGAACCGACACUGUCAGCCAGCGAAGCGGUCCGUGGGGACGGUACGCCCUCCUCGUGGCUCGUUUAGAUAGCCCUGUGAGCCCCGCCGGUGCGACGCCGCGCACGGAACCGACACUGUCAGCCAGCGAAGCGGUCCGUGGGGACGGUACGCCCUCCUCGUGGCUCGUUUAGAUAGCCCUGUGAACCCCACCGAAUCGACGCACCGCCCGGAUCCCGCAGUGUCAGCCAACGAGGCCCGGUGAUCGGCCACCAGCCCAGAGAAGCCCACUCCCUAAACGAAACCCACAAGCCCGGUCAGUCGCGUGAGACCAUCCGGUCCGACAGAACCGGUGAAGCCAUCGGAUUCGACGCCUGGGACCUCCUCGAUACGCCCACGGAGUGUGCCAAGGGACGGCCUGCUCUCCUCGUGGCCCGGGGCCUGGUGGGUAUCCGAAGCCAGCAAACCCAACCGACUCGACCUGUGGAAUCAAAGGUAUGUGGUACCCGUCUUCCCUUCCCUGUCGCAUGACUACCAUGGGCCCCAACGAUGCCGAUCGGCCGCAACGGUACUAACCCUUUAUUAACCCUAAAACCAAACAAAAAAAAAAACAAUAAAUUAAGUAAAAUGUA